GAUAAGCCAUGCAUGUCUAAGCACAAGCCGCACAAUGGCAAAGCCGCGAAUGGCUCAUUACAACAGCUAUCGUUUAUUAGAUCUAUCCAUUACUUGGAUAACUGUGGUAAUUCUAGAGCUAAUACAUGCCAUAAGCUCCGACCUCACGGGAGGAGAGCGUUUAUUAGAACAAAACCAAUCGGGCUUCGGCCCGUCAUUUGGUGAAUCUGAAUAACUUUGCAGAUCGCAUGGUCCUCGCACCGGCGACGCAUCUUUCAAAUGUCUGCCUUAUCAACUUUCGAUGGUAGUUUAUGCGCCUACCAUGGUUGUAACGGGUAACGGAGAAUCAGGGUUCGAUUCCGGAGAGGGAGCCUGAGAAACGGCUACCACAUCCAAGGAAGGCAGCAGGCACGCAAAUUACCCACUCCCGGCACGGGGAGGUAGUGACGAAAAAUAACGAGACGGGUCUCUAUGAGGCCCGUCAUCGGAAUGGGUACAAUUUAAAUCCUUUAACGAGGAUCUAUUGGAGGGCAAGUCUGGUGCCAGCAGCCGCGGUAAUUCCAGCUCCAAUAGCGUAUAUUAAAGUUGUUGCGGUUAAAAAGCUCGUAGUUGGAUGUGCGGUCAAGGAAUGCGGUCCCCCAAUGGGCGGAUACUGCUUUUCCUGGCCUAAUUGGUCCGGUUUUCCCUUGGUGCUCUUCACCGGGUGUCUUGGGUGGCUGGAAGGUUUACUUUGAAAAAAUUAGAGUGCUCAAAGCAGGCUACUGAGCCUGAAUAGUGGUGCAUGGAAUAAUGGAAUAGGACCUCGGUUCUAUUUUGUUGGUUUUCGGAGCUCGAGGUAAUGAUUAAGAGGGACAGACGGGGGCAUUCGUAUUGCGGCGUUAGAGGUGAAAUUGCUUGGAUCGCCGCAAGACGAACUACUGCGAAAGCA
This 907-nucleotide ribosomal RNA is filed under the name Trischistoma abharensis. Its description in RNAcentral is "SSU rRNA". It matches the Rfam family "Eukaryotic small subunit ribosomal RNA", at positions 43 to 953 of the family's 1831-position model. The record is from RNAcentral. Lineage: Eukaryota; Metazoa; Nematoda; Enoplea; Enoplida; Trischistomatidae.